This 89-nucleotide transfer RNA is filed under the name Oscillospiraceae bacterium. RNAcentral describes it as "tRNA-Ser". It matches the Rfam family "tRNA". From Rfam's summary of the family: Transfer RNA (tRNA) molecules are approximately 80 nucleotides in length. Their secondary structure includes four short double-helical elements and three loops (D, anti-codon, and T loops). Further hydrogen bonds mediate the characteristic L-shaped molecular structure. tRNAs have two regions of fundamental functional importance: the anti-codon, which is responsible for specific mRNA codon recognition, and the 3' end, to which the tRNAs corresponding amino acid is attached (by aminoacyl-tRNA synthetases). tRNAs cope with the degeneracy of the genetic code in two manners: having more than one tRNA (with a specific anti-codon) for a particular amino acid; and 'wobble' base-pairing, i.e. permitting non-standard base-pairing at the 3rd anti-codon position. The record is from RNAcentral. Lineage: Bacteria; Bacillati; Bacillota; Clostridia; Eubacteriales; Oscillospiraceae.
GGAGAGGUAGCGAAGCGGUCAUAACGCGGCGGUCUUGAAAACCGUUUGAGGGCAACCUCACAUGGGUUCGAAUCCCAUCCUCUCCGCCA